GACGUAGGGCGCAAGCGUUGUCCGGAUUUAUUGGGCGUAAAGAGCUCGUAGGCGGCUUGUUGCGUCGACCGUGAAAACCCGCGGCUCAACUGCGGGCUUGCGGUCGAUACGGGCAGGCUGGAGUUCGGUAGGGGAGACUGGAAUUCCUGGUGUAGCGGUGAAAUGCGCAGAUAUCAGGAGGAACACCGGUGGCGAAGGCGGUGGUCUGGGCCGGCACUGACGCUGAGAAGCGAAAGCGUGGGGAGCGAACAGG
Molecule: ribosomal RNA, 253 nt
Filed under: uncultured bacterium
Lineage: Bacteria
Description: partial 16S ribosomal RNA
Rfam family: Bacterial small subunit ribosomal RNA
Source: RNAcentral